UCGAGAAUCUUCGGCAAUGGGCGCAAGCCUGACCGAGCGACGCCGCGUGGAGGAUGAAGGCCCUCGGGUUGUAAACUCCUGUCGAGGGGGAGGAAGCUUCGGUUGACCGAACCCUGGAGGAAGCACGGGCUAAGUUCGUGCCAGCAGCCGCGGUAAGACGAACCGUGCGAACGUUAUUCGGAAUCACUGGGCUUAAAGCGCGUGUAGGCGGGCCGCCACGUCGGCUGCUGAAAUCCCCCGGCUCAACCGGGGAAGGGGCACCGAUACGAGCGGCCUGGAGGGGGGUAGGGGGGUCUGGAACUUCCGGUGGAGCGGUGAAAUGCGUUGAGAUCGGAAGGAACGCCCGUGGCGAAAGCGAGGCCCUGGACCCUUUCUGACGCUGAGACGCGAAAGCCAGGGGAGCGAACGGGAUUAGAUACCCGCGUAGUCC
Molecule: ribosomal RNA, 430 nt
Filed under: uncultured bacterium
Lineage: Bacteria
Description: bacterial SSU rRNA
Rfam family: Bacterial small subunit ribosomal RNA
Source: RNAcentral